This 376-nucleotide unclassified non-coding RNA is filed under the name soil metagenome. RNAcentral describes it as "partial contains 5.8S ribosomal RNA, internal transcribed spacer 2, and large subunit ribosomal RNA". The stretch from base 1 to 120 matches the Rfam family "5.8S ribosomal RNA", at positions 35 to 154 of the family's 154-position model. The record is from RNAcentral.
GAUGAAGAACGUAGCGAAAUGCGAUAAGUAAUGUGAAUUGCAGAAUUCAGUGAAUCAUCGAAUCUUUGAACGCAUCUUGCGCUCCUUGGUAUUCUGAGGAGCAUGCCUGUUUGAGUGUCAUUAAAUUCUCAACUACACUGACUUUGAAUUGGUGUGGCUUGGAUUUGGGGGGAAAAUUGUUGUGGGCUUUUUGUAUAGUCUGCUCCCCUGAAAUUGAUUAGCGGUACCUUUGUGGAACUGUCUACAGGUGUGAUAAUUAUCUACAUCUUAGACAUCUGCUGGAAUGCUGCUUUCUAAACCUUACUUGUAUUGACAAUCUUGACCUCAAAUCAGGUAGGACUACCCGCUGAACUUAAGCAUAUCAAUAAGCGGACGA